GACGAAGGGGGCUAGCGUUGUUCGGAAUUAUUGGGCGUAAAGAGCUCGUAGGCGGUCUGUCGCGUCUGCUGUGAAAACCCGAGGCUCAACCUCGGGCCUGCAGUGGGUACGGGCAGACUAGAGUGCGGUAGGGGAGAUUGGAAUUCCUGGUGUAGCGGUGGAAUGCGCAGAUAUCAGGAGGAACACCGAUGGCGAAGGCAGAUCUCUGGGCCGUAACUGACGCUGAGGAGCGAAAGCGUGGGGAGCGAACAGG
RNAcentral lists this ribosomal RNA (253 nucleotides) under uncultured bacterium. RNAcentral describes it as "partial 16S ribosomal RNA". It matches the Rfam family "Bacterial small subunit ribosomal RNA", at positions 524 to 776 of the family's 1533-position model. The record is from RNAcentral.